AUGGCCCUCCUCCACUGGAAGGCCACACUUGCAAACCCACAGCUACAGAUGAGCUCUUGGCAGGAAAACACCAGCCCCUGCAACUGGACGGGCAUCAUGUGUCCGACCAUUCGCCAUGGCCGCCGCAUGCCCCAAGUGGUGACCAACAUCUCUCUGCCGGAUGCCGGCAUUCAUGGCCAGCUCAGUGAGCUCAACUUCUCGCCACUUCCAUUCCUUUAUAUUGACCUUCGAAACAACAGCCUCCAUGGUGCACUACCAGCUAGUAUCAGCUCCAUUUCAGCACUUUCGGAAUUUCACCUUCACUACAACCAGCUCACUGGGAAUAUUCCUUAUGAGAUUGGUGCCCUGCAAAGGCUCAUGUUGCUUGAUCUCUCAUUCAAUGAACUCACAGGACAUAUCCCUGCGUCUCUGGGCAACCUAACUAUGUUAACUUAUCUUUACAUUCACCAAACCAUGGUAUCAGGUCCUGUUCCUGAGGAGAUUGGAAGGCUUGCCAACCUACAAUUUCUACAGCUAAGCAACAACACCUUAAAUGGCACGAUACCAAAAACCCUUGGAAAUCUAACCCAAUUAAAUACUUUGUUGCUCUAUGGUAAUCAACUUUUAGGGCCUAUAUCUGAAGACCUAAGCAGGCUAGUCCAUUUGCAAAGUCUUGGACUUGAGUCAAAUGAUUUUUCAGGUACAAUUCCAAUAUUCAUAGCCAAUCUCACUAGGAUGAACCAACUUUUUCUCUUUGAAAAUCAGAUCACAGGUCCAAUACUUCCAGAACUAGGCAACCUCACUAUGCUCAGUGAACUUUAUCUCCAUAAAAAUCAAAUAACAGGUCCAAUACCUUUAGUAUUGGGCACCUUGGCAAAUCUCCGUCUUUUAGACUUGUCCGACAACCAAUUAACCGGUUCCAUUCCCCAAGAGAUCGGCAAUUUGAUGAACCUCGAAUAUUUUGGCUUGUUUCAGAACCAAAUAUCUGGCUCUAUUCCUGGCAGCUUAGGAAAUAUAACCAAGCUAACAGAAUUAUCCCUCUAUGUAAAUUAGAUAAGUGGUUUCAUUCCCCAAGAGAUUGGCAAUCUCACGAACCUUGAAUAUUUAGGCUUGUUGGGCUCAAUACCAAAAACUUUCGGUAAGUUGCAAAGCAUCCAAGAAAUUCAAAUCUUUGGAAACAAAUUAUCAGGUUCUCUUCCACAAGAAUUAGGAGAUCUCAUCAGCCUUGUUGCAAUUUGGUUGUCUAGAAACUCUCUUUCAGGACUUUUACCCGCAAAUAUAUGUUCAAAUGGCAGGCUUCAAUACCUCGUUGUCUCUGCUAAUAUGUUGAGUUUCCCCAUUCCAAGGAGUUUAAAAUAA
This 1338-nucleotide ribosomal RNA is filed under the name Triticum aestivum (bread wheat). RNAcentral's name for it is "partial small subunit ribosomal RNA". The record is from RNAcentral. Lineage: Eukaryota; Viridiplantae; Streptophyta; Magnoliopsida; Poales; Poaceae.